AUCGCAACAGGGGCAAGACCAGGAGGCCAGUCAUGUUUUUCGAUAAUGUGGUGUUUGCCGGGGUGUUGACGGUCGGCCUCAUGGUCGUGUUUUUCGCAGGCUUUGGAUUAUUCAUCUGGAAAGACGCGCACAAGCGGAAAAAACCGUAGGUCUUUCCGGCUACAACGAGCACGCAAGGCAUUUUGGGCGACUUCGGUCGCCCUUUUUUUU
RNAcentral lists this small RNA (210 nucleotides) under Pseudomonas fluorescens Q8r1-96. Its description in RNAcentral is "PhrS RNA". It matches the Rfam family "PhrS". The record is from RNAcentral. Lineage: Bacteria; Pseudomonadati; Pseudomonadota; Gammaproteobacteria; Pseudomonadales; Pseudomonadaceae.